AGUGGCGAAAGGGCGAGGAAUACAUGGAUAACGUGCCUUUGGCAUGGGGACAGCUGAGGGAAACUUCAGGUAAUACCCAAUGAGACCACAGUGCUUUCGGGCACAGGGGUCAAAGAUGGGGCUCCUUCGGGACCUAUCGGCCAUAGAGCGGUCCAUGUCCUAUCAGCUUGUUGGUGAGGUAAUGGCUCACCAAGGCGACGACGGGUACCGGGACUGAGAGGUUGACCCGGCGCAUCGGGACUGAGACACUGCCCGGACUCCUACGGGAGGCUGCAGUAACGAAUAUUGGUCAAUGGGCGAAAGCCUGAACCAGCGACGCCGCGUGUGGGAGGAAGCCCUUCGGGGUGUAAACCACUGUCAGGGAUUACCAAGCAAUGGAGGCUAAUACCCUCCUGCGUUGAGGCGUCCCAGAGGAAGUCACGGCUAACUUCGUGCCAGCAGCCGCGGUAAUACGAAGGUGGCGAGCGUUGUCCGGAAUCACUGGGCUUAAAGAGCACGUAGGCGGACUGCCAAGCGUCUUGUGAAAUCCCCCGGCUCAACCGGGGAAUUGCUGGGCGAACUGGUAGUCUUGAGGCAAGUAGGGGCAGGUGGAACUCUUGGUGGAGCGGUGGAAUGCGUAGAUAUCAAGAGGAACGCCAGAGGCGAAGGCGAUCUGCUGGGCUUGACCUGACGCUGAGGUGCGAAAGCCAGGGGAGCAAACGGGAUUAGAUACCCCGGUAGUCCUGGCCAUAAACGAUGUCCACUAGAUCGGUGAACUUCUGACAGUGUGCCGGUCGAAACAAAAGCGUUAAGUGGACCGCCUGGGGAGUACGGUCGCAAGGCUAAAACUUCAAAGGAAUUUGACGGGGGCUCACACAAGCGGUGGAGCAUGUUGCUUAAUUCGAUGCAACGCGAAGAACCUUAUCCUGGGCUUGACAUGCUUGGAUGCCCAUCUGGAACAGAGUAGCUGCCCUUCGGGGUGAAACUUGCACAGGUGCUGCAUGGCUGUCGUCAGCUCGUGUCGUGAGAUGUUGGGUUAAGUCCCGUAACGAGCGAAACCCUUGUCGUUAGUUGCCAGCGCGUAAUGGCGGGGACUCUAGCGAGACUUGCCGGUGUUAAACCGGAGGAA
Molecule: ribosomal RNA, 1108 nt
Filed under: uncultured organism
Description: bacterial SSU rRNA
Rfam family: Bacterial small subunit ribosomal RNA
Source: RNAcentral